AUUGAACGCUGGCGGCAGGCCUAACACAUGCAAGUCGAGCGGAUGAGAAGAGCUUGCUCUUCGAUUCAGCGGCGGACGGGUGAGUAAUGCCUAGGAAUCUGCCUGGUAGUGGGGGACAACGUUUCGAAAGGAACGCUAAUACCGCAUACGUCCUACGGGAGAAAGCAGGGGACCUUAGGGCCUUGCGCUAUCAGAUGAGCCUAGGUCGGAUUAGCUAGUUGGUGAGGUAAUGGCUCACCAAGGCGACGAUCCGUAACUGGUCUGAGAGGAUGAUCAGUCACACUGGAACUGAGACACGGUCCAGACUCCUACGGGAGGCAGCAGUGGGGAAUAUUGGACAAUGGGCGAAAGCCUGAUCCAGCCAUACCGCGUGUGUGAAGAAGGUCUUCGGAUUGUAAAGCACUUUAAGUUGGGAGGAAGGGCAGUAAGUUAAUACCUUGCUGUUUUGACGUACCGACAGAAUAACACC
RNAcentral lists this ribosomal RNA (469 nucleotides) under Pseudomonas mosselii. RNAcentral describes it as "bacterial SSU rRNA". It matches the Rfam family "Bacterial small subunit ribosomal RNA", at positions 30 to 493 of the family's 1533-position model. The record is from RNAcentral. Lineage: Bacteria; Pseudomonadati; Pseudomonadota; Gammaproteobacteria; Pseudomonadales; Pseudomonadaceae.